CCUACGGGUGGCAGCAGUCGAGAAUCAUUCACAAUGGGGGAAACCCUGAUGGUGCGACGCCGCGUGGGGGAAUGAAGGUCUUCGGAUUGUAAACCCCUGUCAUGUGGGAGCAAAUUAAAAAGAUCGUACCACAAGAGGAAGAGACGGCUAACUCUGUGCCAGCAGCCGCGGUAAUACAGAGAUCUCAAGCGUUGUUCGGAAUCACUGGGCGUAAAGCGUGCGUAGGCUGUUUCGUAAGUCGUGUGUGAAAGGCGCGGGCUCAACCCGCGGACGGCACAUGAUACUGCGAGACUAGAGUAAGGGAGGGGGAACCGGAAUUCUCGGUGUAGCAGUGAAAUGCGUAGAUAUCGAGAGGAACACUCGUGGCGAAGGCGGGUUCCUGGACAUUAACUGACGCUGAGGCACGAAGGCCAGGGGAGCGAAAGGGAUUAGAUACCCGGGUAGUC
RNAcentral lists this ribosomal RNA (446 nucleotides) under uncultured bacterium. Its description in RNAcentral is "partial 16S ribosomal RNA". It matches the Rfam family "Bacterial small subunit ribosomal RNA", at positions 338 to 795 of the family's 1533-position model. The record is from RNAcentral.